This 1580-nucleotide long non-coding RNA is filed under the name Nicotiana benthamiana. Its description in RNAcentral is "long non-coding RNA (NBEN_LNC011556)". Lineage: Eukaryota; Viridiplantae; Streptophyta; Magnoliopsida; Solanales; Solanaceae. The record is from RNAcentral.
GAUGGGCUUCAAAACUCUAAUUUCUUGGACCUAUUCGAGUUUCUGAAGUUGUUUCAUCUACUGCUCAACUAGGUUUAGAAAUCUUUGUUUCAGCUCUGUUUCUUUAUAUGAUUCUGACAUACUACUAAACUCUAUAAGAUCUUUUAUUUGACCCCCUUUGCAUGCUAUUUGAUACUCCUUCUUCUCUAUUACCGAGGUGACUACCAUUUUCCUAUAGUACAAUAUUUACUGAUUUUGUGAUUGCAAGACACUUCUCUUUGUCAUAGAUUCCGCCUUACAUGCUUAAUGUUUAUGCACUCUUUAUAGGCUAAAUUUCUCUCUCAAAAUAACCCUUAAUUGUGGACUGAUUUCAGACUUCUUCGUGUAAGUUUUAUUGAUUCUUCCUUGCUUAUUGAUUUCCCUGUUUCUUGGGUUUAUUUGAAAGCUUCCCUUAGCUUUUCGAUUCUCCCAUUUCUGACUGGGUUUAUUUGUUUAUUCAUGAACCAGUAAUUUUGAAUCUCUAACUCCUUGAUUUACUAUAUGUUGAUGGAUUUAUGUGUUUCUUACCGUAUUUGGUUAAUCGAGUAUUUCAAAGAUUCUUCCCUUAAUUAAAACCCUAUGUAUUUACCCAUAAUUGUCUAACUUUCACAAGAUUCUUACUCGAUUUCUUUCCUUAACUGUUUUUUGCCCACUACCGUUUAGUUUAAACUCCUUAAUUAAAGGAAGUCUGUAUAUUGAUUGACUUUAAUUGAUACAUAAUUUCAUAAUUACUACUAAACUAUGAUUCUUGCCUUGUUUUCUAUCUAUUUUCAAACUAUAAAUACCCUUCUCUUUCAUUGACACAAAGACACACGAACACUCUUAGUUUUCUGAACUCACACUCACACUCCAAAGGAAUUCUCUCUUGUUACUUGUACCGUGGCCCGCUUUCAGUUCCUGCUACUUGCUUUUACUGUAUUUUGGUCUUUGAAACUGGUAUGUUCUGAUUAAGAUUUUCAGCAGUCACAGCAUUAUGUUUACUUAAUACUCUUACCCACUUGUUUGUCUACUGCUUGUGUUCAAUUCAGUACUUAUUUUAGCAUGUUGCAGUUUCCUUUUGCUUGUUCGGCAUCUACUAUGCAUCCUAAAUGUGUAUGAUGCUGAUGGUUUAUUUGAGGCAUGAUAGUAUUAAGUAUUACUGUGUAUGACUCAAACUUGAUUCCCUUGGAAUCAUAACCUUUAUGUCACCAUCAUAUGUUGUGUAUUCUUUUUGAUUUUGUAAGCAUAACAACAGUCGCUAUUGUUGUGAAUGCCAAGAAUUAGCUAAUGCCUAAGUACAUAGGCUCUUUUCAAUCCCCAAUCUCUGAACCCCUUUGUGUGAAACCCUCAAUCGUGUAUCUGUUUUCCAGCCCCUCUUCCCCUAUUCUGUACUUUCUUAGUUCUUUAAAACCCUAUUUAUUCAUUUGCAUUCUCUCAUAGACCUUAAGUUCUGCUCCCCCUCUAUUGAGCCUUGCCUUGGUACCCAUUGAGCUCCCUCUAAACUUGGACACUUUAGGGUUGGCCCUUCCACACUAUGCUUGUACCUAUUUUAAUGAUACAAUUUGGGUGUGAGUACUUCCCGG